CCUGUUGGGAGGCUACCAAUCACGAAGAUUUGCUUCAAGCGGCUGGCAUGACGAGCAGACAGACGGCACACACACAGGCACAUCAUGAAGCUUAGGGGGCCCCCGACGGCAUUCCAGAACGUCCCGGUAUGGCCACCACCGUCGAAGACGUUUCUCCCGAGCCCCGGUCCUCCUAACACCACCUCAGCAACAGCUCCCCUGCUCUGCGUUGACCUGCCCUGCUCGACGGCAUUUCCUCUCUGGGCCCACCACUGGCGUAGGACCAGCCAGCUCAAGCCCAGGCCCGUACUGCUGCGCUCCGCGGUUCGACCCGCACCUUCGCGAACCUUAGCUUCGAAAACGACACGUGUCAUUCACACGCGUCAUAGAAAAAUUAGGAGCCGCACACUUGUAAGAGAACGUCUCAUUUCCCACCCCCAUCUGAACACGCCGCGUUAAAAAAAAAAAAAAAUUGUACACCAUUUGGUCCCGCAGAGCAUCAGAAGCUGUGAUUUAUUUAACUGCUCCCCUGCUGCUGUGUAUGUAGGUGUUUCUAACGCUUCCCUAAGACAAACGAGACGGAAAUGAAUAUCCUGACUGAACGCUGGCACGUGUGCUGAAUUCCUUCCCUCAGAAAAUGCCUAGAUACAGGGCUGCCUGAUAAGACGGGAGACUGAUUUUUAAAGCCCCCGAGUGGCGAGGCCGAAAUGCCCUUCCGAGCCUCUCAACUGCUCGGGUUAAGACAGAAUCCUACAGUCAAGCCCUUCCAAGGACAGCAAGCCCCUCAGCCAGAUGAACCAAGCCACGGGAAGUCCAAAGCUGUGACAUCCGGUCCCAUUUCUAGAGACGCGUGCCAGGACCAGGCUCCUUGCAUUCCUGGCCUGAGCCCUCAGCUGCGUGACCUUGGGUGAGUCAUCCAACCAGUCCCCGUCCAGACAGGAGAGGACAGCGGCCUCACCGGCCUCACCGAGGCCUCGUGACCAGGAAGGGACACGGGAGGCCCUUCUGUGCUGGGAAGGCCUCGACAGCUGGUAUCUUCAUCUAAGAGACGUACAAUUGGGGGCGAUGAGCCCUGGGUUUUCAAUCCCUGCCUUCCAGAACUGGUGCACAAAAAGCCAAGGCCGCUACAGAUUUGUUCCUUCCUUCUCCGUCCUGGAGCCACCUUGGAUGAGGGGACAAGAUGUACGCAACUGGGCGGCCCGCAUCCUGGCUCUGCUCUAGCACAACCCUCCCCCCCUCCUGAGAUGCCAGGCUGGUCCUUUCCUCCCAGAGACUUAAAAAUUGAAGGCUAAAUGCUAGGAGAGCUGUAGACAGAAGCCCCCAGGAGAGCACCUGGGUACACACGUCCAACUAAUAACCCCGUACCCAAAAAGCAGGGCGCCUUACGUGCCCCCAAAGCCAACCGGCCACAGGGGCCGCCACAAUCCUCCUGAAACGCGCACUCUCCCCCGAACGGAACAGGACCCUCUCCGCGGACCCGAAGCCCACAAGUGAUGCCACGUCCCCUCUCUCCCGGCCCCUGACAAAUGGAGCGCCAGCUCUCCAAAGCACCCUGGACUCCGGGCUGGGGCUGCGGCCGGGACGCCCAGUGGCCUUGUGACCUGGGCAAAGGGUCAGGUAAUCUCCCUCGGCGUCGCAGCGCCUGGUGGUGACGUGAGCCCAGAUCCCGCUGGGCACGUGUAAACACGCAAGACACACGGCCCAGACGGUAUCACUGCCCCACACCUCUGCGUGCAACACACUCCUGGCUUUAUUCUCA
Panthera uncia (snow leopard) is the source of this 1738-nucleotide long non-coding RNA. RefSeq lists it as uncharacterized. The record is from RefSeq and is a predicted model, not a curated record. The transcript is spliced from 2 exons. Lineage: Eukaryota; Metazoa; Chordata; Mammalia; Carnivora; Felidae.